This 253-nucleotide ribosomal RNA is filed under the name uncultured bacterium. Its description in RNAcentral is "partial 16S ribosomal RNA". It matches the Rfam family "Bacterial small subunit ribosomal RNA", at positions 524 to 776 of the family's 1533-position model. The record is from RNAcentral.
UACGUAGGGGGCAAGCGUUGUCCGGAAUUAUUGGGCGUAAAGAGCUUGUAGGCGGUCUGUCGCGUCUGCUGUGAAAAUCCGGGGCUCAACCCCGGACUUGCAGUGGGUACGGGCAGACUAGAGUGUGGUAGGGGAGACUGGAAUUCCUGGUGUAGCGGUGAAAUGCGCAGAUAUCAGGAGGAACACCGAUGGCGAAGGCAGGUCUCUGGGCCGAUACUGACGCUGAGGAGCGAAAGCGUGGGGAGCGAACAGG